AAGAGGCGUUCUCACACUCCCCACCAGCCCCUAGCCGUCCUACUUGGCCAGCAUCACUGGCCUGGCCAAGGCCAAGGCCAGCCUGCAUGGGCCCACCCCUUCUGAAAACACGCUGUCUUUCCUGCUCACCUCUGCCCAGAGGGAUUCAGUGGGAAUCAUCUGCCGCAGGGUCACUUAUUUCUCAUUGCUGCCGGGAAUCAGCACAGGGAGUGUCAAGAGCAACAGACCAUUUUCUUGGCUUUGCCAGAAGAGAACAUCAGUGCCAGAGUUGAGACCAGAAAACUUAGACUUGAGGUGAAGCAACUCACUGGAAGUCCAUGCUUUCCCCAACACAUGGCCACCAUUCCUAACCAGGGCCCUGACGUGAAUGACUGUGCACGGAAGAAUCCGGGGACGCGGGCCAAGGCAAAUGUCUUCCCCACUCAGGGAGUACCCGAUUGCCAGCCCUGCUGCUGGGGCUGGAGCAUUUCUCCCCACACAAAGGAAAGGUCAAGAAGCUGCUGAAUUGCAUUUUCCUCCCGCCUAGCCAUGUGUCUCUGAAGAUGAGUCAUUCCCUUUCCUCUCCUGCCUUCCCGCCUCCCUCCCUCCCUCGCUCCUCCACCCAGUCAUUGGAUCUGGGAGGAACUGCUGCCCAGCCUGCUGCCCAGGCCUCUCUGCAAGGGGUGGGCUCCCAGGUCCCUCAGCAGGGCCUGGAGCCCCGGCGGUCAGCCUCCUUCGUUUACUCUCCUGAAGUAUCUAUCUGGCAGCUCCCAUGUCUCAGGGACCGUGCUGGGCGCACAGGGGUGAGGACCACGAUUCCUACACUCAUAGGCCUGGAGCUGAGUUGAGGAGAGGAGUAUUAAACCCCUAAUCAUAUGCAGUUAGCACUGUGAUGUGUGUUAUACAGAAGAAAGUACAGAGAGCUUUGAGAAGGCGUGAGGAGCUGCACAUCUGGAUGGAGUGGGGGAUGGUUAGGAAGCCCUCCAGGAACUGAGUAUUGAAAUGAGCCCUAAGGGAUAGAGGAGUGGGGAAAGCAGGGAGAGGAACCAGCAUGUGCAAAGGUCCUGUUGUCAAAAGAAGCUGGGUACUUUAAAGAAACAGCAAGAAAGGGUGUGGUGGACAUGCAGUAAACACGGGGAAAAGGGAAAGAGGAUGAGGCUGAAAUGAAAGGAGGGGCCAGACCAUGUGGGGCCUUGAAGAUCACGCUAAAGAACCUCAAAAUCGAUCCCAAAGGCCAUUUGGCCGUUUCUUACAAAGUUAAACCUGUACUUACCGUGUAUUCCACUUGCUGUAUUUACCCAAAAGAAAUAAAACAAUAUGUGCACAAAAAGACUUGUAU
Manis javanica (Malayan pangolin) is the source of this 1318-nucleotide long non-coding RNA. RefSeq lists it as uncharacterized. NCBI's taxonomy places the organism in Eukaryota, Metazoa, Chordata, Mammalia, Pholidota, Manidae. The record is from RefSeq and is a predicted model, not a curated record.